Molecule: ribosomal RNA, 253 nt
Filed under: uncultured bacterium
Lineage: Bacteria
Description: partial 16S ribosomal RNA
Rfam family: Bacterial small subunit ribosomal RNA
Source: RNAcentral
UACGUAGGGCGCAAGCGUUGUCCGGAAUUAUUGGGCGUAAAGAGCUCGUAGGCGGCCUGUUGCGUCCGCUGUGAAAUCCCGGGGCUCAACUUCGGGCUUGCGGUCGAUACGGGCGGGCUAGAGUUCGGUAGGGGAGACUGGAAUUCCUGGUGUAGCGGUGGAAUGCGCAGAUAUCAGGAGGAACACCGAUGGCGAAGGCAGGUCACUGGGCCGCAACUGACGCUGAGGAGCGAAAGCAUGGGGAGCGAACAGG